AAUUAUUCGCAAUAACAAAACUGAUUAGUGAAGAAUUAGUAUUUGGAAGAAAAAUUGAAAAAAAUACAAUAUGAUUUUUAAAUUGGGAUUUCUUGUGGCUGUUACGCUGACUAUAUUCAUAAUUACUGAUGCCUCAGUACUGUCGUGUGACAAUGUGCGAUGUAGAGAAAAUGAAACUUGUACCAGUUGUGCGCCAAACUCCUGUAACACUUAUUCUUGUGAUAAUAGAGAUGGUUCGACGUGUAAAUUUGCAUGCAAAGAAUUGAAAAGACCAACUUGCAUCUGUCUACCUAAUUAUCAUCGUGAAACUUCAAGAGAUGCAUGCAAACCAUUGGAAUGUGAAAAAAAAGACUAAUUGAAAAUAAUAUAUUGAAGAUUUUGCUCCAAUUCAAUUUAUAUUCAAUAUAACAUAAAUGUCUUCAUUGAACAAAUGUGUUGAUUUCUAUUUGAAGAAUAAAUUUAACUAAAAAUUUGUCAUUUGGAUAUAUACAUAGUA
Long non-coding RNA from Contarinia nasturtii (swede midge), 496 nucleotides. RefSeq lists it as uncharacterized. The record is from RefSeq and is a predicted model, not a curated record. The transcript is spliced from 2 exons. NCBI's taxonomy places the organism in Eukaryota, Metazoa, Arthropoda, Insecta, Diptera, Cecidomyiidae.